Molecule: ribosomal RNA, 253 nt
Filed under: uncultured bacterium
Lineage: Bacteria
Description: partial 16S ribosomal RNA
Rfam family: Bacterial small subunit ribosomal RNA
Source: RNAcentral
UACGUAGGCAGCAAGCGUUGUUCGGAGUUACUGGGCGUAAAGGGUGUGUAGGCGGUCGGAUAAGUUUGGUGUGAAAUCUCCCGGCUCAACUGGGAGGGUGCGCUACAAACUGUCUGGCUAGAGUGCGGGAUGGGAAAGUGGAAUUCCUGGUGUAGCGGUGAAAUGCGUAGAUAUCAGGAGGAACACCGGUGGUGUAGACGGCUUUCUGGACCGUAACUGACGCUGAAACACGAAAGCGUGGGUAGCAAACAGG